UACGGGAGGCAGCAGUGGGGAAUAUUGCACAAUGGGGGAAACCCUGAUGCAGCAACGCCGCGUGAAGGAAGAAGGUUUUCGGAUUGUAAACUUCUUUUGUUAGGGACGAAAAAUGACGGUACCUAACGAAUAAGCUCCGGCUAACUACGUGCCAGCAGCCGCGGUAAU
This 168-nucleotide ribosomal RNA is filed under the name uncultured rumen bacterium. Its description in RNAcentral is "partial 16S ribosomal RNA". It matches the Rfam family "Bacterial small subunit ribosomal RNA", at positions 340 to 524 of the family's 1533-position model. The record is from RNAcentral.